UUCCGCUUCCGCCCGUCGGGAUGUCAACAUGGCUGAUAAUAGUGGCAAGUUAGUGACAGGAGCACCGGUACUUAGACUGUAGCGUGUUUCUUGCCAAUGGUCAAGAAGAGAGAUAUUAGAUGGAAGAAAAAGACAGCCAACGGCGAGGGGCGAGCAGUGUGCAGGGAGGAGUUUCGGCACGGCGUCGUAGGGAUGCAGAGAGGCCUCACAGCGUCAUCAUCAACCACUACGAGUCCGUUUGCCGCCACAGAUACCUCUACCGACGCCGAGGCCUCAUAGUUCGGAGACAUAAUGUUGUUUCCGCAGGUCUGCGGCUGGGCUACCGUCCACCGUGGCAGGUCGCCGGGCUGGAGGGGGAGCUUGUAUUCACGGAAUGUCGCCUGUGCCGCUCGCCGCUGUCAAACACCAUCGAACAUUACUGCCUGGCCUGCCCCACUGUUCGUGGUUUGCUACCUCAGGGGCAGCCGUUGGAUGCUGUCUGCCGCCACCUCUUGCACCACGACUUCCUCGAUGCAAUCCUUGUGCGCCACCCUCGUUUUGGUGGAUGUUCAUAAUAUGUGCCCUACGCGGCACUUGUACCGUUAGUUCUUUUUUUUUUUCUGAAUUGUGUAUACUGCAUCAACUUGCCUCCUGUUUUAGUGUGUGUGUGUGUGUGUGUGUGUGUGUA
Long non-coding RNA from Eriocheir sinensis (Chinese mitten crab), 667 nucleotides. RefSeq lists it as uncharacterized. The record is from RefSeq and is a predicted model, not a curated record. NCBI's taxonomy places the organism in Eukaryota, Metazoa, Arthropoda, Malacostraca, Decapoda, Varunidae. The transcript has 2 exons.